UUCUGGGGUAGGUGACUGUACCGGCUGGUUUGCCUGUCAACUUGACACAAGCUGAAGUUAUCACAGAGAAAGGAGAAUCAGUUGAGGAAAUGUCUCCAUGAGACUAAUAUGCAGGGCAGUGAUCUCAACUAGUGAUCAAGAGGGGAGGAUCCAGUCCAUUGUGGGUGGUGCUGUCCCUGGGCUGGAGUUCCUGGGUUCUAUAAGAGAGCAAGCUGAGCAAGCCAGGGGAAGCAAGGCAGUAAGUAACAUCCCUCCAUGACCUCUGCACCAGCUCCUGUUUCCUGACCUGCUUGAGUUCCGGUCCUGGCUUCCUUUGGUGAUGAACAGCAAUGUGGAAGUGAAGAAGAGAGGAACCUGGCAGCUGGUUUGGUCCAAGCAUGGUGGCUUUCCCUGUGCUCUGCUGGAGGCAUAAACUCCUUGAACUAAAAAUAGCCAAGAAAACAACUAUAAUUGCUUCCUUGCUUCCUACAAAGGAUUGAACAAAAGUGCUCAGGCCCUCCUGGGCGAUCAUAAAGAAGUUUUAAAAUUUCAAAUUACACUAAAUAGCACAACAUCAGAAAUAUUCCAAUACUGCUCUUCCCAGAAUUCUAUUCACCUUCAACCAAGCAGCAAGGCUUAGCACAUGGCUCACCCAACCACAGAGCUCAAAGUUGUUUCCAGAGGUCCCCAUGCUACAGCAGCUUGGCUCUUUCAACUUGGAAUCUGGGCACUGAAGCAUAUUCUCCAGCCCAAUCAACAAAGGCACGGACUCAGAACAAGUGAGCGACUGACAAAAUACUAGAGUGACCCUAAGUGCUUGGAGAUAUCUGAUGGUCAGAGAGGGCGGC
This is a non-coding RNA of Rattus norvegicus (Norway rat), 827 nucleotides long. NCBI's taxonomy places the organism in Eukaryota, Metazoa, Chordata, Mammalia, Rodentia, Muridae. The record is from RefSeq and is a predicted model, not a curated record.